RNAcentral lists this small RNA (127 nucleotides) under Marmota monax (woodchuck). The record is from RNAcentral. Lineage: Eukaryota; Metazoa; Chordata; Mammalia; Rodentia; Sciuridae.
GCCGGGUGCAGUGGCGCACGCCUGUCAUCCCAGAGGCUGGGGAGGCUGAGGCAGGAGGAUCUCGAGUUCAAAGCCAGCCUCAGCAACUUAGUGAGGCCCUAAGCAACUCAGCGAGACCCCGUCUCUA